GGAAAAUUAGUUAAUAUAAUAAUACUUGUUUGUCAAGCAAGAGUUACUACUUUAGUAGUAUUUU
Molecule: transfer RNA, 64 nt
Filed under: Stomatella planulata
Lineage: Eukaryota; Metazoa; Mollusca; Gastropoda; Trochida; Trochidae
Description: tRNA-Asp
Source: RNAcentral